GCUCGCGGAAGUGUAAUAAUGGGACUCAAAAUCCGCCGAGGGCAACCUCGUGGGGGUUCGAUUCCCCCUCCCGGCACCA
This 79-nucleotide transfer RNA is filed under the name Tunturiibacter empetritectus. Its description in RNAcentral is "Tunturibacter empetritectus tRNA-OTHER". Lineage: Bacteria; Pseudomonadati; Acidobacteriota; Terriglobia; Terriglobales; Acidobacteriaceae. The record is from RNAcentral.